Acanthosepion pharaonis is the source of this 85-nucleotide non-coding RNA. NCBI's taxonomy places the organism in Eukaryota, Metazoa, Mollusca, Cephalopoda, Sepiida, Sepiidae. The record is from the annotation of a GenBank genome assembly.
ACCCGUACGAUCAGCGAAGUUAAGCAAUGUCGAGCUUGGUUAGUGCCUAGACGGGUGACCUCUUAGGAAUACCAGGUGCUGUCUG